GACGAACGCUGGCGGCGUGCUUAACACAUGCAAGUCGAACGGAAAGGCCCUGCUUUUGUGGGGUGCUCGAGUGGCGAACGGGUGAGUAACACGUGAGUAACCUGACCUUGACUUUCGGAUAACUUCAGGAAACUGGGGCUAAUACAGGAUAGGAGCUCCUGCUGCAUGGUGGGGGUUGGAACGUUUCGGCGGUCGGGGAUGGACGCGCGGCUUAUCAGCUUGUUGGUGGGGUAGUGGCUUACCAAGGCAUUGACGGGUCGCCGGCCUGGGAGGGUGGCCGGGGACAUUGGGCCUGAGGGAGGGAGCAGUGGCGUACGGUGGGCAACAGGGGGAAACAUUACACAGUGGGCGGGAGCCUGAGACAACAGCGCCGCGUGCGGAAUGACGGCCUUCGGGGUGAAAACCGCUGUCGCCUGUGACGAAGCGGGUGUGACGGUAAUGAGUAAAGAAGCACCGGCUAACUACGUG
RNAcentral lists this ribosomal RNA (468 nucleotides) under uncultured bacterium. Its description in RNAcentral is "partial 16S ribosomal RNA". It matches the Rfam family "Bacterial small subunit ribosomal RNA", at positions 28 to 507 of the family's 1533-position model. The record is from RNAcentral.